UGGGGAAUUUUGGACAAUGGGCGCAAGCCUGAUCCAGCCAUGCCGCGUGAGUGAAGAAGGCCUUCGGGUUGUAAAGCUCUUUCGGACGGGAAGAAAUGGCGUGCUCUAACAUAGCCUGUCGAUGACGGUACCGUAAGAAGAAGCACCGGCUAACUACGUGCCAGCAGCCGCGGUAAUACGUAGGGUGCGACCGUUAAUCGGAAUUACUGGGCGUAAAGCGUGCGCAGGCGGUUUUGUAAGACAGAAGUGAAAUCCCCGGGCUUAACCUGGGAACUGCGUUUGUGACUGCAAGGCUGGAGUACGGCAGAGGGGGGUGGAAUUCCACGUGUAGCAGUGAAAUGCGUAGAGAUGUGGAGGAACACCGAUGGCGAAGGCAGCGCCCUGGGCCUGUAUUGACGCUCAUGCACGAAAGCGUGGGGAGCAAACA
Molecule: ribosomal RNA, 427 nt
Filed under: uncultured bacterium
Lineage: Bacteria
Description: bacterial SSU rRNA
Rfam family: Bacterial small subunit ribosomal RNA
Source: RNAcentral